RNAcentral lists this long non-coding RNA (262 nucleotides) under Lathyrus oleraceus (garden pea). Its description in RNAcentral is "Pisum sativum (pea) long non-coding RNA (PSAT_LNC029866)". Lineage: Eukaryota; Viridiplantae; Streptophyta; Magnoliopsida; Fabales; Fabaceae. The record is from RNAcentral.
GAAGGUUUGACCCUCAACAACCAAAAAUUUAUUAAACAAAAGAAAUUCAAACCAAACACAAUAAUUUAAAACAUAAACAACAACCAUCACUUCAAAAUGUUAAAAUGUGCGUGGGGGACAAAACACCCCAAAAAGUACAUAACCAAAAUACCAAAUAUCUGAAAAUACAAGAAAAUAAAACAUAACAUAAAAAAAAACUUAGUCCUCAUAGGACUCAGAACCCUCUUCACUACCGGCCUCAAAACCGGAACCAUCAUCAUCA